UAAAUUUAUAUAAAAUAUUUUGNAUGAAAUAUUUAUAUAAUAUCUAACAUAAUUCAUAUUACUAUAUUUUUUAGUAUAUGAAAUUUUACUUUGAGAAAAUUAGAGUGCUUAAAGCAGGCAUAUGCCUUGAAUACUCCAGCAUGGAAUAAUAUUAAAGAUUUUUAUCUUUCUUAUUGGUUCUAAGAUAAGAAUAAUGAUUAAUAGGGACAGUUGGGGGCAUUUGUAUUUAACAGUCAGAGGUGAAAUUCUUAGAUUUGUUAAAGACAAACUAAUGCGAAAGCAUUUGCCAAGGAUGUUUUCAUUAAUCAAGAACGAAAGUUAGGGGAUCGAAGACGAUCAGAUACCGUCGUAGUCUUAACCAUAAACUAUGCCAACUAGAGAUUGGAGGUUGUUCCUUACUCCUUCACCACCAUAAUA
Molecule: ribosomal RNA, 417 nt
Filed under: Cryptosporidium parvum
Lineage: Eukaryota; Apicomplexa; Conoidasida; Eucoccidiorida; Cryptosporidiidae
Description: SSU rRNA
Rfam family: Eukaryotic small subunit ribosomal RNA
Source: RNAcentral